ACCNGAAGGUCGAGGUAGUGACAAAAAAUAACGAUACGGGACUCAUCUGAGGCCCCGUAAUCGGAAUGAGUACACUUUAAAACCGUCCCCGAGGAUCUAUUGGAGGGCAAGUCUGGUGCCAGCAGCCGCGGUAAUUCCAGCUCCAAUAGCGUAUAUUAAAGUUGUUGUGGUUAAAAAGCUCGUAGUUGGAUCUCGGCGGUCUGAGGGCGGUUCGCUUGAUUGAGUGCUACUGCUCUAUAGGCCGUGGUUUUGCCAGAGGUCUCGGGGUGCUCUUAACCGAGUGUCCUGCGAUGCUGGCAGGUUUACUUUGAAAAAAUUAGAGUGCUCAAAGCAGGCUUUUACGCCUGAAUAUUCGUGCAUGGAAUAAUAGAAUAGGAAGUCGUUUCUAUUUUGUUGGUUUUCGGAAAUCGACUUAAUGAUUAAUAGGGACAGUCGGGGGCAUUUGUAUUCAAACGACAGAGGUGAAAUUCUUGGACCGUUUGAAGACAAACUACUGCGAAAGCAUUUGCCAAGAAUGUUUUCAUUAAUCAAGAACGAAAGUUAGAGGUUCGAAGGCGAUUAGAUACCGCCCUAGUUCUAACCAUAAACGAUGCCAGCUAGCGAUCUGCCGACGUUUUCUUUGUAGACUCGGCAGGAAGCUUCCGGGAAACCAAAGCAUUUGGGUUCCAGGGGAAGUAUGGUUGCAAAGCUGAAACUUAAAGGAAUUGACGGAAGGGCACCACCAGGAGUGGAGCCUGUGGCUUAAUUUGACUCAACACGGA
Molecule: ribosomal RNA, 761 nt
Filed under: uncultured eukaryote
Lineage: Eukaryota
Description: SSU rRNA
Rfam family: Eukaryotic small subunit ribosomal RNA
Source: RNAcentral